RNAcentral lists this ribosomal RNA (259 nucleotides) under uncultured prokaryote. Its description in RNAcentral is "partial 16S ribosomal RNA". It matches the Rfam family "Bacterial small subunit ribosomal RNA", at positions 524 to 782 of the family's 1533-position model. The record is from RNAcentral.
UACGGAGGAUGCGAGCGUUAUCCGGAUUUAUUGGGUUUAAAGGGUGCGUAGGCGGAUUGAUAAGUCAGUGGUGAAAUCCUGCAGCUUAACCGCAGAACUGCCGUUGAUACUGAUAGUCUUGAGUUUGGUUAAGGUAGGCGGAAUGUGUAAUGUAGCGGUGAAAUGCUUAGAUAUUACACAGAACACCAAUUGCGUAGGCAGCUUACUGAGCCGACACUGACGCUGAGGCACGAAAGCGUGGGGAUCAAACAGGAUUAGA